UUUCCUCCGAGUCCAAUCCCGAAUGAUGCAACUCAGGAGAUGGUGGAAAGUUCAGGUGGCUCCCAUGCAACGAUGAUGAUAUCCAACAACAAUCUUCCUCAUCAGCCAAUGGACAUCGAUCUGUCUCCUCAAGGAUGUAAAAAAGGCACUGCUGAUAUUCCAACGGAAGAGUCUGUUGAUAUCACAUCUCAUGAAUCUAAUGCUGAUCCUAUUAGUGCUCCUUUACUCCCUUCUUUUGACUCUGAAGUUGUUUCUGAAAAGGAUGCUAUGAACCUCAUCUCCCUUAAAAGUGGUAGCGAAGAUGAUGACAAGGACAAAUAAUACAACCAAGAGGAAGACAAAGACAAAGAUCACAACAUUGUUGUAGAAUAUAAUAAUAAUAAUAAUAAUAAUAAUAAUAAUAAUAAUAAUAAUAAUUAUUAUUAUAAUUAUUAUUAUUAUUAUUAUUAUUAUUAUAAUUAUAAUAAUAAUAAAUUUCAGAAUUGAUAUAUUGAAUAAUAAGUUUGACCUGAAUUACAUGAUGUACAAAAUCUUGUACUUAUCCCCGUCAUUAUGAUUCUAGUAUAGAUUUUGAACUUUUGGUUUAGAAAAAUUAUCAAUAUAAAAAGUUCGAUAAAUAUAAGAAAUUUAGACCUGAGAAAUGAGGAGAGAGUUACUCAAGAAGAAGGACAUCGCACCUGACUGCAACCUCCGGGUAGCUGGCUCUUCAAAGUUUCCUCUCAAACAUAUCCUAAGCUCUCUCGCAACCAAUUUAUCCCCUUUGAUCUUUGUCUUUUCUCUCAUAUCCUUACAAACUUCUUCAGUACAUGUUGUAAACACAACCUUGGAUCGAUUAUGUGCAUUAGGUAGCGGAAUUCCAGAUUUCACCGUAUAUAAAAUAAAUGAUAAACUGCUGUUACAAAUAAACCAUAUAAAUACUAAAUUUCUUGUAUGGAAAGUAACUGAUUUAGAACACUUACCAAGAUCAAAUUUCUCCCAAACAUCAUCAAGAAACAAAAUAAACCGUGUCUUAAUAUCUCAAUGAUCUUUGCAGCUUUCUCUCUUUUUUUGGUAGAAAAGAUAUAUAUAUAUAUAUAUUUUUUUUUUGGUAGAAAAUAUAUACAUAUAUAUAUAUAUAUUAAAUAAACUUUACAUCUUAAUUAAAUUCAUAUAAUAAAAUUUACCUCAUUUACAUAAUUCCCUCGCAGGGAAAAUAUCGUAUCAAACAUUACUGGAGUGAAAGACGAAACAAGACCCAAAGUGUCAUCAUUCAGAUUGAAAGCGAAGAAGGCCAUCCUGACGAUGGUUUUCGCUGGAGAAAAUAUGGUCAAAAGUUGUCACAAAGAAUGCAAAUCCAAGGUUAUAUAUUUCGUUCACUUCAAAAUUAGUCAGACAUUUUUGGAAAAAUAUUAUAUAUUUAUUUUGGUAAUCACAGGAGUUACUACAGAUGCACAUACACUGGGUGUAAGGUGACGAAGCAUGUGGAGAGAAGCGUAGACAAUGUGAAUUUAGUGGUGGCUAUGUACGAUGGGAUACAUGAGCACGUUCCACCACCUGAACGCAUAAGCAAAUCCAGUACAAAGAAUAAAUCCGGUCGCAAUGUCUCAAGAUCCUAGCAUGCAAACCCUUGUGUUAGGUAUGCCGCCUUAUUCCUCUUCGGCCUCUCAGCUUUUCCCUUCUGCCUUGGCCCCACAACUGAAUGUGACAAGUUUACAGGUUGACAAGAAUCAUGGUGUUAUGAACCGGAAUGAUGAACCGAAUAUUGAUCCUGUGAUACCCGACGGUACAGAGGUAUCCGAGGGGAUAAGGGAGCGACUAUUUCGUAACUUUGGUAUCGAACUUUAGAUGGGAAAACAUUAACCAAAAGAUAAAAAAGAAAGAUGUAAACCCUUUAUAAUUAAUAAAUCCUUAUCUUAUAAUUACAAAUAAUAAUGACCAAAGAUAUACAAAAUCUUGUACUUAUCCAUUUCAUUAUGGUUUUAGUGCAUAUUACUCUUGAGUUGACCUAUUUAUUCUCCAAUUGUUACAGUGUUACUGUGUUAGGAUGGUUAAUCCAGAUAAUAAACUAUAUGUAUAUGUGAACUAUAUAAAUCAAACCGACAUCCAGUGAUACAGAAGAAAAACUAAACCCUGACUAUAAUCCAAUUAAACAGAUUGUUUACGCUCAUGCUCAUCCUCUUUUUAAGUGAGUAUCACUUUUACUCUUGCCAUUAUAUUAGCUUUUUGGAGCCAAGUUUCUCAUGAGAAAGUUGGAUUAAGAGUGUAGCAAACUUUAGAUUGUAGGUCAUAUUAAAUAAUGAGAAGUGUACAAGUGAGUAUAAAUAUAUACAAGUGUUUGAUCAUAUCUCUCCAGCAUUUGUUUGAGUAAAUUUCAGGAGUUUCUUUAUUGUUUUUACUAAUUUUUUUAAAGAGAGAGAAAGAAAAACGAAACAAAGCAUAUCCUAAGCAAACAAAUCUCUUUUAUUUAGGUAAUCUAAUCUCCAGGAUUAAAAGUUAGCUUUCUGAUUGUAAUAUAUUAAAGUGGUCUAAACAACAAAUGACCAGUCUUUGACUUGCUAUUACCCAUUGAAAUAACAAAGACCAGAAGGAUGAUAAACCAAAGGAGUCAAUUCCUAUCCAAAAAGACUCAACCCAUGGACGUUAUAACAAGUAUACCCAAUGCAGCUAUGAGAAGAUACUGCAAGAAGAAGAUUAAAAAAAUGACACAGAGUGUUCAUUGUGGAUUGGACAUAGAGUGAGAAAAGAGAAUGUAUUAACCUAGAUGAUAGGCUUUUCUGUCAUGAUUAUAGUCACCCAUCCAACAUAAGGCAAGAAGCUGAAGCAGGCACAAAGGUAAAACCAUUUAUGAGUAACUACAGCUUUUGGUUUACUUUACACACUAUACACUUAUGUGAUUAAAGUAAAUUAAUUAUCCUACAGCACGACUCAUUACAUGAUGUCGAUGAAGCCAAAGCUGACCUUUAGCAUAGAGAAUUCUAUCAUGGUCAAGGUUAUUGUCACCUGUAAACAAUAGAAAUGAAAAUGUAAAUGGGCGUUGAAUGAUAACAAUAUGAUAAACAACUCACACUCAAUUCAAAUAAAUAAAACCAGAACCUUUGGUCAAAACAACGAUUUCUCCAGUACUUUCCCUUUCGUGAACCUGUAAUGUAAUGAACCCCCAAAGAAUCAGAAUCAUCUAGGUGCUACAAUCUAAGCACAGGGAGAUGAUAAUGAGGAGAUCUAUAGAAAAAGUUACCUUAAUGACACGAUGGACAAUUGGAAUAUCACGACCCUGAAAAGAGAAGCAUGAAUAAAAAUACAAAUGAGGUGAAAGGUUCAUGCAUAAGUAA
Long non-coding RNA from Brassica rapa (field mustard), 3308 nucleotides. RefSeq lists it as uncharacterized. The record is from RefSeq and is a predicted model, not a curated record. NCBI's taxonomy places the organism in Eukaryota, Viridiplantae, Streptophyta, Magnoliopsida, Brassicales, Brassicaceae.